RNAcentral lists this unclassified non-coding RNA (375 nucleotides) under uncultured Actinomycetes bacterium. RNAcentral's name for it is "uncultured actinobacterium contains 16S-23S intergenic spacer region". The record is from RNAcentral. Lineage: Bacteria; Bacillati; Actinomycetota; Actinomycetes.
UCCGGUUUGUCACCGGCAGUCUCGCAUGAGUCCCCAACUAAAUGCUGGCAACAUGCGACAGGGGUUGCGCUCGUUGCGGGACUUAACCCAACAUCUCACGACACGAGCUGACGACAACCAUGCACCACCUGUGCACGGCCCUUACGGACCUCCCAUCUCUGGAAGAUUUCCGUGCAUGUCAAGCCUAGGUAAGGUUCUUCGCGUUGCAUCGAAUUAAGCAACAUGCUCCACCGCUUGUGCGGGCCCCCGUCAAUUCAUUUGAGUUUUAACCUUGCGGCCGUACUCCCCAGGCGGGGCACUUAAUGCGUUAGCUUCGGCACGGAGAACGUGGAAUGUUCCCCACACCUAGUGCCCACCGUUUACGGCGUGGACUAC